RNAcentral lists this ribosomal RNA (481 nucleotides) under Pseudo-nitzschia fraudulenta. Its description in RNAcentral is "partial Bacterial large subunit ribosomal RNA". It matches the Rfam family "Bacterial large subunit ribosomal RNA", at positions 22 to 519 of the family's 2925-position model. Lineage: Eukaryota; Bacillariophyta; Bacillariophyceae; Bacillariales; Bacillariaceae. The record is from RNAcentral.
UGGCGGAUGCCUUGGCUCUGAGAGGCGAUGAAGGACGUGACAAGCUGCGAUAAGCUACGAUUAGGUGCAAAUAACCUGUUAGUCGUAGAUUUCCGAAUGGGGCAACCCAGCAUACUGAAGGUAUGUUACCCGAAAGGGGGCAAACCCGGCGAACUGAAACAUCUAAGUAGCCGGAGGAAGAGAAAAUAAUAAUGAUUCUCCUAGUAGUGGCGAGCGAACGGGGAACAGCCCAAACCAGUAUUGUUUCGGCAAUGCUGGGGUAGUAGGACUGCAACAUGGACUUAAUAUUUAUAGUAGAACCAUCUGGAAAGUUGGACCAUAGAGAGUGAUAGUCUCGUAAGCGAAAUAGAUAUUAUACCUAGCAGGAUCCUGAGUAGCACGAAACAGGUGAAAUUUUGUGUGAAUCAGCCGGAACCAUCCGGUAAGGCUAAAUACUCCUCAAAGACCGAUAGUGAACUAGUACCGUGAGGGAAAGGUGAAA